This 110-nucleotide ribosomal RNA is filed under the name Flavobacterium keumense. Lineage: Bacteria; Pseudomonadati; Bacteroidota; Flavobacteriia; Flavobacteriales; Flavobacteriaceae. The record is from RNAcentral.
UAAGGUGGUUAUUGCGGCGGGGCUCACCUCUUCCCAUCCCGAACAGAGAAGUUAAGCCCGCCUGCGCAGAUGGUACUGCAGUUAUGUGGGAGAGUAUGUCGUCGCCUUUU